Molecule: non-coding RNA, 86 nt
Organism: Carnobacterium inhibens subsp. gilichinskyi
Lineage: Bacteria; Bacillati; Bacillota; Bacilli; Lactobacillales; Carnobacteriaceae
Source: Rfam
AGAGUGUUAUGAUGAUGGGAUCAAUGAAAAUUGGUUUCCAAGUCUAGCUCGAAACUUCUCCUGACUUGAGUUUGCUCAUUCAGGAG